RNAcentral lists this long non-coding RNA (206 nucleotides) under Nicotiana benthamiana. RNAcentral describes it as "long non-coding RNA (NBEN_LNC041175)". The record is from RNAcentral. Lineage: Eukaryota; Viridiplantae; Streptophyta; Magnoliopsida; Solanales; Solanaceae.
AAAUGACAAGAGAGGAGAAAGCGUCAAACUCACUCUUCCCAUGACUAAUUCACAUUUUAGUUGACCCCAUUCAAGAAAAGCAACGAUCGACUUCAAAUAUACAUUCCAUUGACAUUUUGCCAACUUUGCUAGAUGUAAUAGGUACCAGCUAUUAGCAAUUCCAGAAAUUGCUCCUCAUUCUCAUCGCUUCAUAAAUGAUGCUCAUC